RNAcentral lists this ribosomal RNA (2662 nucleotides) under Enterobacter cloacae. RNAcentral's name for it is "partial 23S ribosomal RNA". It matches the Rfam family "Bacterial large subunit ribosomal RNA". Lineage: Bacteria; Pseudomonadati; Pseudomonadota; Gammaproteobacteria; Enterobacterales; Enterobacteriaceae. The record is from RNAcentral.
GAUUAAGUUAUUAAGGGCGCACGGUGGAUGCCUUGGCACUAGAAGCCGAUGAAGGACGUUACUAACGACGAUAUGCUUUGGGUAGCUGUAAGUAAGCGUUGAUCCAGAGAUUUCCGAAUGGGGGAAAGAAGGCAGACCCGGAGAACUGAAACAUCUUAGUACCCGGAGGAAGAGAAAGAAAAAUCGAUUCCCUGAGUAGCGGCGAGCGAAACGGGAAGAGCCCAAACCAACAAGCUUGCUUGUUGGGGUUGUAGGACACUCUAUACGGAGUUACAAAAGAACAUGUUAGACGAAUCAUCUGGAAAGAUGAAUCAAAGAAGGUAAUAAUCCUGUAGUCGAAAACAUAUUCUCUCUUGAGUGGAUCCUGAGUACGACGGAGCACGUGAAAUUCCGUCGGAAUCUGGGAGGACCAUCUCCUAAGGCUAAAUACUCUCUAGUGACCGAUAGUGAACCAGUACCGUGAGGGAAAGGUGAAAAGUACCCCGGAAGGGGAGUGAAAGAGAACUUGAAACCGUGUGCUUACAAGUAGUCAGAGCCCGUUAAUGGGUGAUGGCGUGCCUUUUGUAGAAUGAACCGGCGAGUUACGAUCUGAUGCAAGGUUAAGCAGCAAAUGUGGAGCCGCAGCGAAAGCGAGUCUGAAUAGGGCGUUGAGUAUUUGGUCGUAGACCCGAAACCAGGUGAUCUACCCUUGGUCAGGUUGAAGUUCAGGUAACACUGAAUGGAGGACCGAACCGACUUACGUUGAAAAGUGAGCGGAUGAACUGAGGGUAGCGGAGAAAUUCCAAUCGAACUUGGAGAUAGCUGGUUCUCUCCGAAAUAGCUUUAGGGCUAGCCUCAAGUGAUGAUUAUUGGAGGUAGAGCACUGUUUGGACGAGGGGCCCCUCUCGGGUUACCGAAUUCAGACAAACUCCGAAUGCCAAUUAAUUUAACUUGGGAGUCAGAACAUGGGUGAUAAGGUCCGUGUUCGAAAGGGAAACAGCCCAGACCACCAGCUAAGGUCCCAAAAUAUAUGUUAAGUGGAAAAGGAUGUGGCGUUGCCCAGACAACUAGGAUGUUGGCUUAGAAGCAGCCAUCAUUUAAAGAGUGCGUAAUAGCUCACUAGUCGAGUGACACUGCGCCGAAAAUGUACCGGGGCUAAACAUAUUACCGAAGCUGUGGAUUGUCCUUUGGACAAUGGUAGGAGAGCGUUCUAAGGGCGUCGAAGCAUGAUCGCAAGGACAUGUGGAGCGCUUAGAAGUGAGAAUGCCGGUGUGAGUAGCGAAAGACGGGUGAGAAUCCCGUCCACCGAUUGACUGAGGCCGACAGGCGUAGGCGAUGGAUAACAGGUUGAUAUUCCUGUACCACCUAGUAUCGUUUUAAUCGAUGGGGGGACGCAGUAGGAUAGGCGAAGCGUGCUGUUGGAGUGCACGUCCAAGCAGUAAGGCUGAGUGUUAGGCAAAUCCGGCACUCAUAAGGCUGAGCUGUGAUGGGGAGAGGAAAUUGUUUCCUCGAGUCGUUGAUUUCACACUGCCGAGAAAAGCCUCUAGAUAGAUAACAGGUGCCCGUACCGCAAACCGACACAGGUAGUCAAGAUGAGAAUUCUAAGGUGAGCGAGCGAACUCUCGUUAAGGAACUCGGCAAAAUGACCCCGUAACUUCGGGAGAAGGGGUGCUCUUUAGGGUUCACGCCCAGAAGAGCCGCAGUGAAUAGGCCCAAGCGACUGUUUAUCAAAAACACAGGUCUCUGCUAAACCGUAAGGUGAUGUAUAGGGGCUGACGCCUGCCCGGUGAACGGUCCUAAGGUAGCGAAAUUCCUUGUCGGGUAAGUUCCGACCCGCACGAAAGGCGUAACGAUUUGGGCACUGUCUCAACGAGAGACUCGGUGAAAUCAUAGUACCUGUGAAGAUGCAGGUUACCCGCGACAGGACGGAAAGACCCCGUGGAGCUUUACUGUAGCCUGAUAUUGAAAUUCGGCACAGCUUGUACAGGAUAGGUAGGAGCCUUUGAAACGUGAGCGCUAGCUUACGUGGAGGCGUUGGUGGGAUACUACCCUAGCUGUGUUGGCUUUCUAACCCGCACCACUUAUCGUGGUGGGAGACAGUGUCAGGCGGGCAGUUUGACUGGGGCGGUCGCCUCCUAAAAGGUAACGGAGGCGCUCAAAGGUUCCCUCAGAAUGGUUGGAAAUCAUUCAUAGAGUGUAAAGGCAUAAGGGAGCUUGACUGCGAGACCUACAAGUCGAGCAGGGUCGAAAGACGGACUUAGUGAUCCGGUGGUUCCGCAUGGAAGGGCCAUCGCUCAACGGAUAAAAGCUACCCCGGGGAUAACAGGCUUAUCUCCCCCAAGAGUUCACAUCGACGGGGAGGUUUGGCACCUCGAUGUCGGCUCAUCGCAUCCUGGGGCUGUAGUCGGUCCCAAGGGUUGGGCUGUUCGCCCAUUAAAGCGGUACGCGAGCUGGGUUCAGAACGUCGUGAGACAGUUCGGUCCCUAUCCGUCGUGGGCGUAGGAAAUUUGAGAGGAGCUGUCCUUAGUACGAGAGGACCGGGAUGGACAUACCUCUGGUGUACCAGUUGUCGUGCCAACGGCAUAGCUGGGUAGCUAUGUAUGGACGGGAUAAGUGCUGAAAGCAUCUAAGCAUGAAGCCCCCCUCAAGAUGAGAUUUCCCAACUUCGGUUAUAAGAUCCCUC